Molecule: transfer RNA, 57 nt
Filed under: Cephalophorus callipygus (Peters' duiker)
Lineage: Eukaryota; Metazoa; Chordata; Mammalia; Artiodactyla; Bovidae
Also listed under: 2 other names
Description: Cephalophus callipygus (Peters' duiker) partial tRNA-Pro
Source: RNAcentral
GGACUAGAGCCCUACUAUCAACACCCAAAGCUGAAGUUCUAUUUAAACUAUUCCCUG